This 506-nucleotide ribosomal RNA is filed under the name uncultured bacterium. Its description in RNAcentral is "partial 16S ribosomal RNA". It matches the Rfam family "Bacterial small subunit ribosomal RNA", at positions 29 to 523 of the family's 1533-position model. The record is from RNAcentral.
AGUGAACGCUGGCGGUAGGCCUAACACAUGCAAGUCGAACGGCAGCACAGGAGAGCUUGCUCUCUGGGUGGCGAGUGGCGGACGGGUGAGGAAUACAUCGGAAUCUACUCUGUCGUGGGGGAUAACGUAGGGAAACUUACGCUAAUACUGCAUACGACCUACGGGUGAAAGCAGGGGAUCUUCGGACCUUGCGCGAUUGAAUGAGCCGAUGUCGGAUUAGCUAGUUGGCGGGGUAAAGGCCCACCAAGGCGACGGUCCGUAGCUGGUCUGAGAGGAUGAUCAGCCACACUGGAACUGAGACACGGUCCAGACUCCUACGGGAGGCAGCAGUGGGGAAUAUUGGACAAUGGGCGCAAGCCUGAUCCAGCCAUACCGCGUGGGUGAAGAAGGCCUUCGGGUUGCAAAGCCCUUUUGUUGGGAAAGAAAUCCAGCUGGCUAAUACCCGGUUGGGAUGACGGUACCCAAAGAAUAAGCACCGGCUAACUUCGUGCCAGCCGCCGCAGUAA